GCGGCAGAUUAGUGAAAUAAUAAAUCUGAAAGUGGCGCCGAUGGACCAUUUGCGGGUGAAGACGACGAUUUUGAGAGGGUCAGCGGUGGGUUUUACUCUUCGUCGGAGAAUUUGUCGAAGUGGAGGUCGCCGGACGACAACUUGGAGAAGAGAUUUGAGCGGGAGGAGAAGGAUGUUAAAGAGAAUUGCUGCAAGCAGAUGGCGGCGGAGGAGGAGUUGUGGCGGAGGAGGCUUGGGCAACUGGUGAAGUAGAACUUGAUUUUCUAAUGGCGGUGGAGGAAGCUUGG
This 287-nucleotide long non-coding RNA is filed under the name Erythranthe guttata (spotted monkey flower). RNAcentral describes it as "long non-coding RNA (EGUT_LNC003541)". The record is from RNAcentral. Lineage: Eukaryota; Viridiplantae; Streptophyta; Magnoliopsida; Lamiales; Phrymaceae.